Molecule: ribosomal RNA, 388 nt
Filed under: uncultured bacterium
Lineage: Bacteria
Description: partial 16S ribosomal RNA
Rfam family: Bacterial small subunit ribosomal RNA
Source: RNAcentral
AUACGUAGGUGGCAAGCGUUAUCCGGAAUUAUUGGGCGUAAAGAGUGAGCAGGCGGUUAAUUAAGUCUGAGGUUAAAGCGUGGGGCUCAACCCCAUAAAGCCUUGGAAACUGAUUGACUAGAGUACGGGAGAAGUGAAGGGAACUCCCAGGGGAGCGGUGAAGUGCGUAGAUAUAUGGAAGAACACCAGUGGCGAAGGCGCUUCACUAGCCCGAAACUGACGCUCAGUCACGAAAGCGUGGGUAGCAAAUAGGAUUAGAUACCCUAGUAGUCCACGCUGUAAACGAUGACAACUAAAUAUUGCCGCGAGGCAGUGUUGAAGCUAACGCAUUAAGUUGUCCGCCUGGGGAGUACGGUCGCAAGACUGAAACUUAAAGGAAUUGACGGGG